GACGAACGCUGACGGUGUGCUUUAGACAUGCAAGUCGAACGAGAAAGCCCUUCGGGGUGAGUACAGUGGCGAACGGGUGAGUAACACGUGGGCAACCUGCCCCUCGCAGGGGGACGAACCGGAGGAAACUCCGGCUAAUACCCCGUAAGCUUGUUGGGUCGCAUGACCCUUCAAGGAAAGGUAGCUUCGGCCAUCCGGCGAGGGAUGGGCCCGCGGUACAUUAGCUAGUUGGUGGGGUAACGGCCCACCAAGGCGACGAUGUAUAGCUGGUCUGAGAGGAUGAUCAGCCACACUGGGACUGAGACACGGCCCAGACUCCUACGGGAGGCAGCAGUCGGGAAUCUUGCGCAAUGGGCGAAAGCCUGACGCAGCAACACCGUGUGAGCGACGAAGGCCUCGGUCGUAAG
Molecule: ribosomal RNA, 407 nt
Filed under: uncultured bacterium
Lineage: Bacteria
Description: bacterial SSU rRNA
Rfam family: Bacterial small subunit ribosomal RNA
Source: RNAcentral